CCAUCAGCUGAAAGAGACUUGAGGGAGGGGACAAUCCCCAAUAACUGACAGCUUGUGUUCUGAGGCCAUUGCACUGAUGAAGCAUACAGCUGAUGAAGGAAUUGUUAUGACGAAGAUGAAGCAGACCUUCAACUAUCGCCAAAAGAUCAUUCAUGAUCCAGUGAAGUCCUCUGAUGUCUUUCUGGCCUUCCCAAGAUUCCUGGACAUACAAGGAUUAAUUGAGCAAGAUUUUACUUUGAUGUUUGAUGAUGACAUCUCUGCAAAGUUCCUGGAGAAGUGGCCCACAAUUUACAAGAAAAAAGUCCUUGAACAAAGCCGUGGUCUCAGUCGGAUGAUCUGCAGUACCUCGUCCAGACUGCUGAAUCCACAACAGAAGUCGAAAGUGGAUGGGACAGUGACAUGUCGUCCAUUUUGAUCCUUGUGCACCUGCUGCC
Long non-coding RNA from Pseudoliparis swirei, 434 nucleotides. RefSeq lists it as uncharacterized. The transcript has 3 exons. Lineage: Eukaryota; Metazoa; Chordata; Actinopteri; Perciformes; Liparidae. The record is from RefSeq and is a predicted model, not a curated record.